UUGCACGCUGGCGGCAUGCUUUACCCCUGCCAGUCGAACGGUAACAGGCCGCAAGGUGCUGACGAGUGGCGAACGGGUGAGUAAUGCAUCGGAACGUGCCCAGUCGUGGGGGAUAACUACUCGAAAGAGUAGCUAAUACCGCAUACGAUCUAUGGAUGAAAGCGGGGGACCGUAAGGCCUCGCGCGAUUGGAGCGGCCGAUGUCAGAUUAGGUAGUUGGUGGGGUAAAGGCUCACCAAGCCAACGAUCUGUAGCUGGUCUGAGAGGACGACCAGCCACACUGGGACUGAGACACGGCCCAGACUCCUACGGGAGGCAGCAGUGGGGAAUUUUGGACAAUGGGCGCAAGCCUGAUCCAGCAAUGCCGCGUGCAGGAAGAAGGCCUUCGGGUUGUAAACUGCUUUUGUACGGAACGAAACGGCUCUGGUUAAUACCCGGGGCUAAUGACGGUACCGUAAGAAUAAGCACCGGCUAACUACGUG
RNAcentral lists this ribosomal RNA (481 nucleotides) under uncultured bacterium. RNAcentral's name for it is "partial 16S ribosomal RNA". It matches the Rfam family "Bacterial small subunit ribosomal RNA", at positions 30 to 507 of the family's 1533-position model. The record is from RNAcentral.